Molecule: ribosomal RNA, 460 nt
Filed under: uncultured bacterium
Lineage: Bacteria
Description: partial 16S ribosomal RNA
Rfam family: Bacterial small subunit ribosomal RNA
Source: RNAcentral
CCUACGGGAGACAGCAGUGAGGAAUAUUGGUCAAUGGACGGAAGUCUGAACCAGCCAUGCCGCGUGCAGGAAGACGGCUCUAUGAGUUGUAAACUGCUUUUGUACAAGGGUAAACCUGAAUACGUGUAUUCUGCUGCAAGUACUCUACGAUUAAGGAUCGGCUAACUCCGUGCCAGCAGCCGCGGUAAUACGGAGGAUCCAAGCGUUAUCCGGAUUUAUUGGGUUUAAAGGGUGCGUAGGCGGGUUGAUAAGUUAGAGGUGAAAUGUCCGGGCUUAACUCGGGUACUGCCUCUGAUACUGUUGAGCUAGAGGGUAGGUGCGGUAGGCGGAAUGUAUGGUGUAGCGGUGAAAUGCUUAGAGAUCAUGCAGAACACCGAUUGCGAAGGCAGCUUACCAAUCUAUAUCUGACGUUGAGGCACGAAAGCGUGGGGAGCAAACAGGAUUAGAUACCCCGGUAGUC